CUAGCCUCACUCAUAAACUCAUGAGCCAAAAAUUUUAUGACAGACUGGCAAUCUCGAGUUGGUCACCACAGCCCUCGCAAGGCUGGGCCUCACGUUACUGUACAACCAGCACCAACCGAAACUCGGUUACCUGGUACAAUCAAUUCUUAUGACACACAAGAUGUUAACCCUGCACGUAUGAUCCCAGCACAUUGGGGAAGCAAGGC
Molecule: non-coding RNA, 206 nt
Organism: Pelobates cultripes (western spadefoot toad)
Lineage: Eukaryota; Metazoa; Chordata; Amphibia; Anura; Pelobatidae
Source: the annotation of a GenBank genome assembly